CAUAUUUCGUGUUUGAACUGAAUGGAGAGACUAGAUGAUCCCGGUGGUAGAAUUUAAGAUUUUUCUUCGUAGAUCUUCAUUUUAAUUCAGAGGGGAGAACGUUAAAAUUGUAUCUGAAGACUGAGAGCAAAGAUAUUUUGAAAAAAUAUCCCAGACCACGAAAUCAUCAUUUCCUACAUUAGUUAGUAUCAUUUACAAUGACAAGUUCAAAACAUCGAGUUUUUUGCACAUUGGAAAAACAGGUUAAUAAGAUUCAUCAGAGAGUUAAGUAAAUAUAUCCUUUGAUUCCAAGAAAUCUGCUUUGCAAAUAAUAAUUUGUAUUAAGAACAGAACAGAAUAGAAAUUGGGACUUUGAAACAAAAAGGAA
This is a long non-coding RNA of Argiope bruennichi, 367 nucleotides long. RefSeq lists it as uncharacterized. The record is from RefSeq and is a predicted model, not a curated record. The transcript has 3 exons. Lineage: Eukaryota; Metazoa; Arthropoda; Arachnida; Araneae; Araneidae.